Molecule: ribosomal RNA, 438 nt
Filed under: uncultured Sphingobacteriales bacterium
Lineage: Bacteria; Pseudomonadati; Bacteroidota; Sphingobacteriia; Sphingobacteriales
Description: bacterial SSU rRNA
Rfam family: Bacterial small subunit ribosomal RNA
Source: RNAcentral
AUGUGGUUUAAUUCGAUGAUACGCGAGGAACCUUACCUGGGCUCAAAUGUAUGUUGACGUAUUCUGAAGGAUACUUCUUCGGACAAUAUACAAGGUGCUGCAUGGUUGUCGUCAGCUCGUGCCGUGAGGUGUCGGGUUAAGUCCCAUAACGAGCGCAACCCCUACCUUUAGUUGCCAUCAGGUUAAGCUGGGGACUCUAAAGGAACUGCCUACGCAAGUAGUGAGGAAGCGGGGAUGACGUCAAAUCAGCACGGCCCUUACGUCCAGGGCUACACACGUGCUACAAUGGCCGAUACAGAGGGCAGCUACCUGGUGACAGGAUGCAAAUCUCCAAAGUCGGUCUCAGUUCGGAUCGGAGUCUGCAACCCGACUCCGUGAAGUUGGAUUCGCUAGUAAUCGCGCAUCAGCCAUGGCGCGGUGAAUACGUUCCCGGGCCUU